GUCUACGGCCAUACCACCCUGAACGUGCUCGAUCUAGUCUGAUCUCCCAAGCUAAGCAGGGUCGGGCCUGG
RNAcentral lists this ribosomal RNA (71 nucleotides) under Pteropus alecto (black flying fox). The record is from RNAcentral. Lineage: Eukaryota; Metazoa; Chordata; Mammalia; Chiroptera; Pteropodidae.